UGGGGAAUUUUGGACAAUGGGCGCAAGCCUGAUCCAGCCAUGCCGCGUGCGGGAAGAAGGCCUUUGGGUUGUAAACCGCUUUUGUCAGGGAAGAAAUCCUUUGAGCUAAUACCUCGGGGGGAUGACGGUACCUGAAGAAUAAGCACCGGCUAACUACGUGCCAGCAGCCGCGGUAAUACGAAGGGUGCAAGCGUUACUCGGAAUUACUGGGCGUAAAGCGUGCGUAGGUGGUCGUUUAAGUCUGUUGUGAAAGCCCUGGGCUCAACCUGGGAACUGCAGUGGAGACUGGACGACUAGAGUGUGGUAGAGGGUAGCGGAAUUCCUGGUGUAGCAGUGAAAUGCGUAGAUAUGCGGAGGAACACCGAUGGCGAAGGCAAUCCCCUGGACCUGUACUGACGCUCAUGCACGAAAGCGUGGAGAGCAAACA
This 427-nucleotide ribosomal RNA is filed under the name uncultured bacterium. RNAcentral's name for it is "bacterial SSU rRNA". It matches the Rfam family "Bacterial small subunit ribosomal RNA", at positions 355 to 774 of the family's 1533-position model. The record is from RNAcentral.